UAAUCCGACCUAGGCUCAUCCAUCGACGCGAGGUCUUGCGACCCCCGCUUUCCCCCGUAGGGCGUAUGCGGUAUUAGCCAAUCUUUCGACUGGUUAUUCCCCAUCAUUGGGCAGAUUCCUACGUAUUACUCACCCGUCCGCCGCUCGCCACCAGGUACAAGUACCCGUGCUGCCGCUCGACUUGCAUGUGUUAGGCCUGCCGCCAGCGUUCAAUCUGAGCCAGGAUCAAACUCU
Molecule: ribosomal RNA, 234 nt
Filed under: uncultured bacterium
Lineage: Bacteria
Description: partial 16S ribosomal RNA
Source: RNAcentral